UGGGGGAAUAUUGCACAAUGGGCGAAAGCCUGAUGCAGCGACGCCGCGUGAGGGAUGACGGCCUUCGGGUUGUAAACCUCUUUCAGCAGGGAAGAAGCGAAAGUGACGGUACCUGCAGAAGAAGCGCCGGCUAACUACGUGCCAGCAGCCGCGGUAAUACGUAAGGCGCAAGCGUUGUCCGGAAUAUUGGGCGUAAAGAGCUCGUAGGCGGUUAGUCGCGUCUGCUGUGAAAAUCUCGAGGCUCAACCUCGGGCUUGCAGUGGUACGGGCUGACUAGAGUGCGGUAGGGGUGACUGGAAUUCCUGGUGUAGCGGUGGAAUGCGCAGAUAUCAGGAGGAACACCGAUGGCGAAGGCAGGUCACUGGCCGCAACUGACGCUGAGGAGCGAAAGCAUGGGGAGCGAACAGGAUUAG
RNAcentral lists this ribosomal RNA (413 nucleotides) under uncultured bacterium. RNAcentral's name for it is "partial 16S ribosomal RNA". It matches the Rfam family "Bacterial small subunit ribosomal RNA", at positions 354 to 781 of the family's 1533-position model. The record is from RNAcentral.